UUGAGCGACUGCGACUCGACGCGGACGAGAUACCGAUUUCGUACACUUCUCUUCCUGUGAUGUCGUUCCGUAUAUGCCUGGGGUUUCUGGAACCAAUGAAAGUGACAACAGUGGUGAUAGCAAGGAUGCCAAAUCCGCUUCAUCAGUUUCAGUGACAGAGGGCAAUGUGAAGGUACGUGAAUACGAUCCAAAAAAGGAUUUAAGGGCUCUUGGACAGUGGAUUUGCUCUAACCAAGAUCCACCCAAGUAUUUUGAAAAUGUUGAUUACAUACAGUCAAUUGGCGUGUUUAACCGGCUGUUUAAGCCUACUUUCAAUGAGGUUGAAGGUGAAUGCAUGGAAGUAUAUGAGAGAAUGAAAGUGGAAACUAAGGAAGUAUUAAGAAACUUUGAUGGACAGAUUAGCCUCUGUGUGGACCUACUCACGGAC
This 427-nucleotide small RNA is filed under the name Malus domestica (apple). RNAcentral's name for it is "sRNA MD13G0130500". Lineage: Eukaryota; Viridiplantae; Streptophyta; Magnoliopsida; Rosales; Rosaceae. The record is from RNAcentral.